This is a long non-coding RNA of Zea mays, 444 nucleotides long. RefSeq lists it as uncharacterized. The transcript has 2 exons. The record is from RefSeq and is a predicted model, not a curated record. Lineage: Eukaryota; Viridiplantae; Streptophyta; Magnoliopsida; Poales; Poaceae.
GCGGUUCAUUCCCGACCACGAGGAGGGCACGAAGCUGAUGGUCGUGAACGGCGAGAUGAAGGUCGUCGUGGGUGGAACGAUGGGAUGCCACCGUCGUGGGCGGGUGGUCGGCCUUGGGGACUUCACCAGUGCUCCCCAUGCUCGAGUGCAGCCCGCUCGACUGCUCAUGGGAAGACCCUUUGGGUGGCUCUUUGUACGCCCAGACUUCCGCACAGGUGGCUUCGGUGCGGCGGCAAUUCCUCACCGGGUCUCAGGCAGUACCGCCUUGCCGCACUGCUCCGUGGAUGGAGACAAUCAUGGCAGUACUCCAGGGUCAAGAGCAGGUACCGCAGGAUGAUGCGCUCGGAGGAUGCUGUGAAGUGUUCGUGAGAGAUCUAGGUCGUCGUCUCCCAGUCAACUCUGGGUUGCUGGACCGUUGUCUCCUUAUAAUGUAAUUAUUUAUUU